RNAcentral lists this ribosomal RNA (505 nucleotides) under uncultured bacterium. RNAcentral describes it as "partial 16S ribosomal RNA". It matches the Rfam family "Bacterial small subunit ribosomal RNA", at positions 28 to 507 of the family's 1533-position model. The record is from RNAcentral.
GACGAACGCUGGCGGCGUGCCUAAUACAUGCAAGUAGAACGCACAGUUUAUACCGUAGCUUGCUACACCAUAGACUGUGAGUUGCGAACGGGUGAGUAACGCGUAGGUAACCUGCCUGGUAGCGGGGGAUAACUAUUGGAAACGAUAGCUAAUACCGCAUAAUAUUGAUUAUUGCAUGAUAAUUAAUUGAAAGGUGCAAUUGCACCACUACCAGAUGGACCUGCGUUGUAUUAGCUAGUAGGUGAGGUAACGGCUCACCUAGGCGACGAUACAUAGCCGACCUGAGAGGGUGAUCGGCCACACUGGGACUGAGACACGGCCCAGACUCCUACGGGAGGCAGCAGUAGGGAAUCUUCGGCAAUGGACGAAAGUCUGACCGAGCAACGCCGCGUGAGUGAAGAAGGUUUUCGGAUCGUAAAGCUCGGUUGUAAGAGAAGAACGGGUGUGAGAGUGGAAAGUUCACACUGUGACGGUAUCUGACCAGAAAGGGACGGCUAACUACGUG